CUCUCGGCAACGGAUAUCUCGGCUCUCGCAUCGAUGAAGAACGUAGCGAAAUGCGAUACUUGGUGUGAAUUGCAGAAUCCCGUGAACCAUCGAGUCUUUGAACGCAAGUUGCGCCCGAAGCCAUUAGGCCGAGGGCACGCCUGCCUGGGUGUCACGCAACGUC
RNAcentral lists this ribosomal RNA (163 nucleotides) under Piptadenia adiantoides. RNAcentral describes it as "5.8S ribosomal RNA". It matches the Rfam family "5.8S ribosomal RNA". From Rfam's summary of the family: 5.8S ribosomal RNA (5.8S rRNA) is a component of the large subunit of the eukaryotic ribosome. It is transcribed by RNA polymerase I as part of the 45S precursor that also contains 18S and 28S rRNA. The record is from RNAcentral. Lineage: Eukaryota; Viridiplantae; Streptophyta; Magnoliopsida; Fabales; Fabaceae.